Molecule: long non-coding RNA, 397 nt
Filed under: Manihot esculenta (cassava)
Lineage: Eukaryota; Viridiplantae; Streptophyta; Magnoliopsida; Malpighiales; Euphorbiaceae
Description: long non-coding RNA (MESC_LNC002560)
Source: RNAcentral
UAUGAUAUGACAAUACGUAAAAGCAGAGUUGUAAUAUGAUAAAAUGUUAUAGUUUGAAGAAUGGAAAGGUAUACUGUAUUGGAAGUUUUUGUCCCCCUGUGUAAAUGUAUAAAUUAUACAAAGUCUGGCCCUAGUGAAUUUGGUGAGUAUUGUGAGUUAGUUUAAGAUGUGGCAUGCCAUAUACAGAUCUUGCAGUACUGCACUACAGUUACACUGAUUCUUGGGAUACAAUGAGGUAUCCUACAAUUAUAGAAUCGGCUUUUGAGCCAUACAGUUAUUUGGCACUUUGUGCCCUACAGUUACAGUUUCCUUAUCUGACUUAACAGUCCCAUUUAAAUUUAUAGGGGCCAACAGAAAAAUAAAUAAAUAAAAGUAUUAAGAUAAAAUACAACUUUUU